AAAGUCCUCACCCUGAAAUCGCUUCCGUAUUUACAACUGUUACAACUGUUGUUGAAGACAAGGACACACAUUUGUCUACCGGAACAUUAGAUGCACCAUCAACAAAUGAGCAACUUUAUAAGCAGAUCAUCAUUCCGAUUUGUUUGUCUGUGGUACUAUUUGUGUUCGUAAUAGUUACAAUACUAUUCAGAAGACAGUUACAAGGAUCCGAAUCGCAGAAUACAAACGACACGGAUGGGAAAGCGACAGCAUUCUGUGAUAAAACAUAUCCAGCAAAUGCAACGGCGUCUUGUGAGUGUCGUACAAAUUGUUUUUGCAAUUUCGUAGUUAACAGAAGG
This is a long non-coding RNA of Dreissena polymorpha, 338 nucleotides long. RefSeq lists it as uncharacterized. NCBI's taxonomy places the organism in Eukaryota, Metazoa, Mollusca, Bivalvia, Myida, Dreissenidae. The transcript has 3 exons. The record is from RefSeq and is a predicted model, not a curated record.